Molecule: non-coding RNA, 1511 nt
Organism: Coffea arabica (coffee)
Lineage: Eukaryota; Viridiplantae; Streptophyta; Magnoliopsida; Gentianales; Rubiaceae
Source: RefSeq, a predicted model, not a curated record
UUGUGUUUGUGAAGCCUCGCCAACACUGUGGACCCACCCACGGCAACAAUUUCAAUUUUGAGUAGAAUAUACUCUAGUGCUCUCCUUCUGCCUCUGCCAAAUCCUAACCCCCCCUCCCAGUAUUUUUGUUGCAUCAAAUUUCCGGCUUGUAAUCGCCACAAUUCUCCUCUGGUUUUUUUUUCCCUCUGUCACACUUACACAGGAUGGUGGCUGGGUUUUUUCAGGACUUGGCUUUUUCUGCAUACCUCACGAUGGUUGUUUAUUUUAUUCUGUCUAAGCUUCGUUCGAGUUCUGCUGAAGAUAUCACCAAUGUUACGUGCAAUUCAAGAAACGAUGUUUUUAUUUAUAAAGCUGGGUUUUUGGAGCAUGUUGGCGAAAAAUAUCCUGGGGUUUUUGAUAUUAGACAAGAAAGAAAUCUUGGGAAUUCUGGGUUUCAAGCAGUGAUGUCGGGAGAAGUUCACAGUGUUGAUGGUGAAGGGAACGAGCUGAAACAAGAAAAGAAAGAUAAUAACACCAACGAUGAAGCUCUUGGUGGAGUUGUCGAAAACGUACUAGUACAAGAGGCGAGGGAAGAAAAAGAUGGUGUCGGUGUCGGUGGCGGUGAGGAUAUUAAAGAAAAAGAAGAAGUUGAUGAAUGUUCUGAAUCGAGGCCAAUGCCCCAGGAAACUGAAGAAGAACUACAAAGCCUAGUUGAAGAAGCUUAUGUGGCACUGAGUUUAAGGGAAGAAUUUGAGGUGAGGGAGGGCAAGGAUGAGGAAAUUUGUGAGGUUUUGGAGAAUAAACAUAGUCAAGAAACAGAGAGGGAUGCAGCACAGAGCACUGAGAGGAGUGAGGGCAAUGAAUCUAAUGAUCAGGUGGGGGUGGAAGAAUCAGAAGAGGGGCUGUUUGAUGAUUGGGAAGGGAUAGAGAGAAGUGAGCUGGAGAAGCAUUUUGAUGCAGCAGUGGCUUUUAUUGGUUCCAAGGGCAAUGCUGAUCGUAUUGAUGGCAAUACAAGGAUGCAGCUUUACGGGCUUCACAGGGUUGCCAUGGAAGGAACUUGCCACGGGCCACAGCCAAUGGCAUUGAAGGUUUCGGCUCGUGCUAAGUGGACCAGUAGCCGUUUUUGAACUGAACUACGGUGGAUUCAUUUUGGUAUGGUAGGAAUGCUUGGCAAAAGCUGGGUGACAUGAGCUCAGAAAUGGCAAUGGAACGGUAUAUGGCCCUUCUGUCAGCAAGCAUACCUGAAUGGGAGGACAAAAUCAUAAAAAAGUGAGAGGCCUUUCUGAUGCCUGUAGCUGAUCACGCGGAGGGCUGCAGUUUCUAGUACUUUUACUCCAAUCUUGAUUUCAACAGAGGAUUUUAGGGAGAACUGCAUGUGUUUGUAAAUCAAAAACUGAUUCCGCCUUAUCCAUCAUGAUUUGAUUAUUACUAUACCUUUUAUGGUAGUAACAGUAGUAGUAUUCACUAAUUCAUUUGCUAGCUUUACAUAUUAAAUGCAAAUCAUUUGUGCUGCUAGUAUUUUUCACCAGAAA